Rhododendron vialii is the source of this 841-nucleotide RNA transcript. It is a transcript of the gene named U1 small nuclear ribonucleoprotein A-like, with no coding region annotated. NCBI's taxonomy places the organism in Eukaryota, Viridiplantae, Streptophyta, Magnoliopsida, Ericales, Ericaceae. The record is from RefSeq and is a predicted model, not a curated record. The transcript is spliced from 4 exons.
GACAUCGACUCAUGAUUUGCUAAAUUUCAAGAUUUUAGUAUUGGUGUCAUUCGCACACCGACUCCCCCUUCGACAAUCUCAUCAACGCUCUGAGAAACCCUCACAUCGAUUUCACUAGUUCCUCUCCCUCUCCCCUCCAUCUUGUUCUACAAAGAAACCCUAGAACCAUGGUGUAUCCAUGGCGUUCAUCUCCUUCAGUAGCACCAACGGUCGACGGCUCCCAACCCUCACCUCUCUACUUCACGAGCAGUCACGAUCUGAAUUAGGAUGGUAUCAUUGGAAAAGUUAAUGGUGAUUAUUUUGUGGUGGUGUCAUGGUUGUAAACUUGUAAGCUUUCUUAAACCGUAGAAUUAUAUGCUUCCUGCAUUCAAAGUUCUUUUAGUACUUAUUUCCGGAGAGAGUACGUGGUCACUAAAACUUGUCAAACACGGCUAUGCAACUGUACGAGGGACUCAAUUUCUCGUGUUACUAUAGUGGAGGUAUAAUAAGAUAUAUAGUCACGUCGUCUUUCAUGGGCAUUUGGCAUUGAACUCUAGUCAUUAGCUUGGUUUUAUUCUUAAGAAACAGCUACACGCAUUCUCAUUUUUCUUUGGCUAUUAGUAAUUAUUCUUCUAUGUUUGUUGUCGAUAGUUGGUGAUGUUCUAUUCGUCCCAUGUAUCUGCAACCAAUUGCAGGGUCAUUGGGAAACUUCAAGCAGGACCAAAUACUCAGGAAAGGGACGCCAGGUUUCUGGUUCAUAGGCUGAUAAACAAGAGAAGUUCUUUUGUGACUUUUUGCUGAAGAAGUAGAUAUCAUCUUGCUAGUGUGCAGGUUGUCAUGAUCCUUUGGUUAAAGCCUCUUU